UGGGGAAUCUUGCGCAAUGGGCGAAAGCCUGACGCAGCCAUGCCGCGUGAAUGAUGAAGGUCUUAGGAUUGUAAAAUUCUUUCACCGGGGACGAUAAUGACGGUACCCGGAGAAGAAGCCCCGGCUAACUUCGUGCCAGCAGCCGCGGUAAUACGAAGGGGGCUAGCGUUGCUCGGAAUUACUGGGCGUAAAGGGAGCGUAGGCGGACAUUUAAGUCAGGGGUGAAAUCCCGGGGCUCAACCUCGGAAUUGCCUUUGAUACUGGGUGUCUUGAGUAUGAGAGAGGUGUGUGGAACUCCGAGUGUAGAGGUGAAAUUCGUAGAUAUUCGGAAGAACACCAGUGGCGAAGGCGACACACUGGCUCAUUACUGACGCUGAGGCUCGAAAGCGUGGGGAGCAAACA
Molecule: ribosomal RNA, 402 nt
Filed under: Pseudomonas sp.
Lineage: Bacteria; Pseudomonadati; Pseudomonadota; Gammaproteobacteria; Pseudomonadales; Pseudomonadaceae
Also listed under: 7 other names
Description: partial 16S ribosomal RNA
Rfam family: Bacterial small subunit ribosomal RNA
Source: RNAcentral